UCAAAUAGUUGGGAUGGAGACUUGGCUCGUAGCAUUCUUCCUAAGUUGUUCAAACUCCAACGCUUGAGGGUCUUCUCCUUGUUUGGAUACCACAUCUCUGAGCUACCAAAUUCAGUAGGUGAUUUGAGGUAUUUAAAGUACCUUAACCUAUCUGGAACUGAAAUUAGAACUCUGCCUGAAUCAGUGAACAAGCUUUACAAUUUGCACACACUUUUGUUGGAGGACUGUCGGAAACUGAAGAAGUUGUGUGCAGAAAUGGGAAGCCUCAUCAAAUUGCAUCAUCUUAAAAAUUCAAAUACAGAUUCCUUGGAGGAAAUGCCACUAGGAAUUGGUAAUUUGACUUGUCUUCAAACGUUGUGUAAUUUUGUUGUGGCAAAAGACAGUGGUUCCGGGUUAAGAGAGCUGAAGUCGUUGACUCAUCUUAAGAGGACACUUAAAAUUUCAAAAUUGGAGAAUGUAAAAUGCGUUGGUGAUGCCAUGGAGGCUCAAAUGGAUGGAAAGAAGAAGAAAAGACAGUGGUUCGGGGUUAUCAGAGCUAAAGUUGUUGAUGCAUCUUCGUGGGGCACUUGAAAUUUCAAAAUUGGAGAACGUAAAAGACGUUGGUAAUGCGAAGGAGGCUCGGUUGGAUGGAAAGAAGAAUCUUAAAGAAUUAUUGCUUCGAUGGACACGCAGUACCGAUGGUUCAUCUUCAAGGGAGGCAGAAACUGAAAUGGGCGUGCUUGACAUGCUAAAACCUCAUACAAAUCUGGAGCAAUUUUGUAUCAAAGGCUAUGAAGGUAUGAAAUUUCCAACUUGGUUGGGAGAUUCCUCAUUCUCAAAUUUGGUGACCCUAAAAUUUAAAAAUUGCGGCAUGUGCACUGCCCUGCCGUCUAUGGGGCAACUGCCCUCUCUAAAGCAUCUUACAGUGCGUGGAAUGAGCAGAGUAAAGAGAUUGGGUUCAGAGUUCUAUGGGAAUGAUCCUCCAAUUCCUUUUCUAUGCUUGGAGACUCUUCGUUUUGAAGACAUGCAAGAAUGGGAAGACUGGAUUCCCCAUGGAUCCAGUCAAGGAGUUGUUGAAGGGUUUCCUAAAUUGAGAGAGCUUCACAUUUUAAGAUGUUCUAAAUUGAAAGGAACAUUUCCAGAGCACCUUCCUGCAUUGGAGAUGCUUGUUAUUGAAGGAUGUGAAGAAUUGUCAGUUUCAGUUUCGAGUCUUCCAGCUCUUUGCAAAUUACAGAUUGGUGGAUGUAAAAAGGUUGUGUGGGAAAGUGCAACUGGUCAUCUCGGAUCUCAGAAUUCAGUGGUUUGUAGAGAUGCAUCAAAUCAAGUGUUUCUCGCAGGGCCAUUAAAGCCGCAACUGCCAAAAUUGGAAGAAUUGGAGAUAAAUGAUAUGAAAGAGCAUAAAUAUAUCUGGAAGAGUCAUAAUGGAUUACUACAAGACAUUUGCUCUCUCAAAAGAUUGACGAUUGACAGCUGUCCCAAACUUCAAUCCUUGGUGGCGGAGGAAGAGAAAGACCAACAACAGCAGCUCUGCGAGUUGUCAUGCAGACUCGAAUAUCUAAGAUUGAGAUAUUGCGAAGGCCUUGUGAAGCUGCCACAAUCAUCGCUCAGCCUGAGUUCCUUGAGAGAGAUAGAAAUCUGCAAGUGCAGUUCCCUUGUUUCCUUUCCUGAGGUUGCUCUGCCUUCCAAGUUGAAGAAAAUUAGGAUUAGCAGUUGUGAUGCACUGAAAUCGUUACCAGAGGCAUGGAUGUGCGACACCAAUUCAUCUCUCGAGAUCUUGGAGAUUUGGAUUUGCUGUUCGUUGACAUAUAUUGCUGGAGUCCAGCUACCACGGAGCCUUAAGAGGUUGCAUAUCUUGUUGUGCAAUAAUAUAAGGACUUUGACAGUGGAAGAGGGCAUCCAGUGUAGCAAUAGCAGCAGCAGCAGCAGAAGGUACACCUCAUCCCUUCUCGAGCACUUACACAUUGGCAAUUGUCGAUCUCUGACAUGUAUAUUUUCAAAAAACGAGUUACCUGCCACGCUUGAGUCCCUUGAAGUUGGCAAUCUACCUCCGUCUCUUAAGGUACUUGAUAUUUAUGGAUGUCCAAAGCUGGAGUCAAUAGCAGAAAGGUUGGACAACAACACAUCUCUUGAAACAAUCAGUAUUUUGUGUUGUGAAAAUCUGAAAAUUUUACCGAGUGGUUUACAUAAUCUCCGCCAGCUUCAAGAGAUUAGCAUAGAGAAAUGUGGAAAUCUGGAGUCCUUUCCCGAAGGGGGAUUGCCUUGUGCGAAACUGAGUAAGCUCAGGAUCUAUGGGUGUGAGAGACUAGAGGCCUUACCCAAGGGAUUGCACAAUCUGAAGUCUCUUCAAGAAUUAAGAAUAGGAAGAGGAGUUGAGCUUCCAAGCCUUGAAGAAGAUGGCCUUCCCACCAACCUUCAUUCACUGGAGAUUGAUGGUAAUAUGGAGAUUUGGAAGUCAACGAUUGAGUGGGGUCGGGGAUUCCACAGAUUCUCCUCUCUGCGAUGUCUUGCAAUCAGCGGAUGCGAUGACGACAUGGUGUCAUUUCCACUAGAGGACAAAAGAUUAGGGACCGCGCUUCCUCUUCCUGCCUGUCUAGCAUCCCUGAUGAUUGGUAAUUUUCCAAAUCUGGAACGCCUAUCUUCUUCAAUUGUUGAUCUUCAAAACCUCACUGAAUUGUAUCUCGGGGAUUGUCCCAAGCUCAAAUACUUUCCGGAGAAGGGCCUGCCUUCCUCACUUUUGCGAUUAUACAUCGACGAAUGUCCGUUGAUAGCAGAGAAGUGCAGAAAGGAUGGAGGACAAUAUUGGGACUUGUUAACCCAUAUACCCAGUGUUCUAAUAGAUUUAGCAAAGGAGGAGGACUCUAUUAAUUAAUUAAUGAAUUAAUUUCUCGUUAUCAGCGGUUGAAACUUCAGUUUCUUAUAUUUGUCUUUUCCGCGGUACGGUUACAUAUAUUUGUGUAUGUAAUUUUAAAAUUUAAAUCUCAGUUGAAAACUGUUUUAAAUUAAUAAAAAGAAAAAUGUUAAGUAGAGUAAGGGGCUCGCAUUAUUUCAGCAGCGGGGGACAUAUGUGUAUUAAUUAAUUAAUUAAUUAAUGGAUUAAUUUCUUAUGCGUAUCUCAUUCUAAGCUGUUGAAAUAAACUUCAGUUUCUUUUAUUUGGCUGUACAGUUACGCAUGUGUAAUAUUUCUCUUCAUCAGAUUUCGACAAAAAUUGUUAAUGUUUUUAUUAGUAAUUAAUUAGUAUGUUAGUGUUCUUCUUUUGUUCCAGAACAAUCUGCCUCUUCAGAACAAUCUGCCUCUUCAGCAAUAAUGUUACAAUGUUCUUUUGAUGUUGUUGUUUAGCAAAGUGGUUUUUUAGGUGCUAAUUAAACACACGAGGGCUAGGCCGUGUUACAAAAUUAUUUGUAAUCUUUAAUUUAAUUGUUUAUGUGCCAUCGCUAUUAAUAUUAAUCGAUAAAUAUAAUUUUAUCAGUUACUGAAUAUUUGAAUUCAUCAAAACUGUCAUAAUUGAAACGGAUCUUCAUAUUAACACAUCAAUAUGACAGAAAAAGGGAAUAUUUUUAAUGAAUUAAUUUCCUAUUGAGUAUGAAUGCGUAAUGUAUAAUGGCUAUCUCUUUCUUAGUUGUUGAAAUUAACUUCAUUUUUCUGUAUGGUUAUGUAUAACGAGAUUGAAAUUGUUUCGACCGGGUACAAUAAAAUAGUAAUGUGAGGUUCAUUCCGAUCAUGAUUUAUGAAAAUCACUUAAUAAUCAAAUCCGAUAACAACAAAAACAUAAAAAUCAAACGAGAAACAAUAUCCCCCACAACACCGACAAUAAAAUAUCAAAAACAAAACAAGCCAAGUGUUUGCCAAGAGAAAAUAUGAAGACCAACAAAGCAAAAUACGGUCACCACCAGAAUUACUUUUAAGCUAUAGUGGCCUAAAUUAAUUUUAAGGUAUGGUGGCCUUAAUAUCUUCACCAGAAGAAUUACCAACCGCGUCAUCAGCAGUAAUGUUAUAAUGUUCUUUUAAUGGUUUUGUAAAGUGGUUUUUGAUUGCCGAUUAAGCACUUGAAGGCUGGACUGCUGCAGUACAGAAUUAUUUAUACUCUCUAAUCUGAUACACUUUAAGCAAGUUCUUGAAUUAAUUGCUUCUGUGCCAUCGCUUUUAAUAUUUGCAAAUAUUGAUCAUCAUUAGCUCCUUUUGGGAUGUUAGAGAGCUUUGUUCAGAGAGAAAGACCAUAAAAACAGAGUACAUAACUUGUCAUAUAAAAAUAGUAUGUUCGCAUAUUACUCACAGUUAGCCAAGGCGCCGUCUGGUCAUAAUUGACAUAAGAGCUCAACCGUAAGUAACACAAUACACAAUCUGAAGAAUAGUUGCUUGAUCAGAAAGUCCAACUUUGUAGCUAUAAUUUUUUUUUUUUUUUUAGAAGUGUAGCUAUAAUAUGCUAUUUUCAUAAGACUUCGUUAAAGAUUGUUUUGUAAUUAAUUUCACACAACACAACCCUACAGAAAAUUGACCAAAACAAAAUGAAAUAUCAAGGCUGUAAUUAGCACUUGAUCAAAGGAAAAGAAGAAACAAAUGAAUUUGUAAGGAGUACUCCGAUACGUAUAUGAAUUUGUUUAGAGUUCUUUAUCAUAGAAAAAAUCAAUUGUAUGUCCUUCGUAUUUUCUCUAUAAAAACUUGCAAUAUAGACCAUUAGUUUGUUUUGAUAUUUACUGGAGUGAAUUGUUGUUUUUGUGAUUAUAAAAAAAUAUACUUCAGAGUUAUUUAUUUUUAUGUACAUAUAAAAUUGAAUUUAUUUUAAUGUGCACAAGAGUCAUUGGAAGGAUUUGCUCAUUAAUGGUUGGUUUGUGAAGUAAACUGACCAGAAAAUUUAUCAAAAGCACUUUAUUACAUCAUCUUCAUAUGUGCACUGAUGUAUAUUUACAUCAUCUUCAUACGUGCACUGAUGUAUAUUCUCCCUGAAUCCCAUAACAACAAAAACAGAAAAUCAAAAGAGAAACAGUAUCCCAGAAUGCCAAAAAAAUAUCAGAAACAAAAAUCAAACAAAGCAAUUCAAAAGCAUUUGCUUGUGAUGCCAUGACCAAGAAUGCUACUGCCAUAACAAGAAAUGGCAUUGCAAGACUGUAGAAUGCCACAUGUGCGAAUGAGAAGAACAUUACAAAUCAACAAUUCAAAAAAAAAAAAAGAAGAAUUUAAACCAGCUAAAAGGAUAGGCAUUAGGUAGAAUUUCACACGAAGAAUAAGACUAAGAAAAUUUAAGGUGAUUUGCAUUUAUAAUCAGCAAACGACUCAACAUAUCAGAAUGAGAAGAACAUUCAGGAAUCACCAGGCAGGACAAGAUCAAGGAGGCAACAAGGAAGCAUUUGUUUUGGCCAAAUAAAGUUUGCAGAUCUUUUAAUGCUAAUAUUAGUAAUAAAACCAUCACUGGGAUAUUGGUUUGGCAAUGUUUAAUUAAUGGCCCUGAGCUUUAUGAUCUUUAUUACAUAUGUAUUUAAUGCAACUACACAUACAUGUAAUAUGUACCUUGUAGGCUUAUUUAUUUAUAUUAAUAAUUAAUAUGAUCUUUUCAAACUUAGCCGAAGUUGUUGAACAUAAAAAUACUCAAAUAUUCAGUGUUCUUGAUUAAAUUAGCAUCAAUGGACAUAAUUAAAUAAAGAAAAUCGGAUUAUUACGAUGAUUGAUUCAGUUAGCUACAUUAGUGUUAUUUUUUAAAAAUGAUAUAUGUCGUAAAAUUUGUGUUAUAAAAACGUAUGGUAAUUAUCCACCGACCACCUAUUUUUUUAAAAUAUACAAAUUUUAUUUCAUUUUUUUUGCAACACUCCAUCAAAAGUUAACACUCUCUUCACUCGUCCACUUCCGUCAUAACGCAUUUAAUAGAUUUAACAUAAAAUUAAUUAAGUGAUUUUUUACCCAUAAUUGUAAAAUUGUUAUUUUUCUUAAAUAAAUGCCAAAAGUAUAUGAAUAUCAUUUAAAAUUUCCCAAGCUCAAUACGGCAUCGUAAAAACCCUACAAAACCUUCGUUCCCAUCCUUGAGCCCUGAGCCUUGAGCCUUGAGCCUUGAACAAUAUGAGCAAAAUGAUUUUUUUUAGAAAAAACCAGGGAUAUCAAUUAAUAAAAAAUUUAAAUCUAACCAAAAAAUCCUAAUAUCUAAAAGCAAAAUCUUAAUAGAUGUCCAAAAGCAAAAGAAUAGAAAAGAAAAGAAGAAGCAUAAUCCCAUCCAGAAAAACGAGAUGAACAGAUGACAACUAAUUUCCUUUUCAAUUUAGAAUUUUAUUUCAUUUUCAAUUUAGAAUUUUAUUUUAUUUUCAAUUUUCAAUUUUGUUUUUCUUUAGUGAUUUGAGAUAAUUACUACUAUUAUAAAUAGUUCUCUCUUGUAACCUUUGAAGACAUUUAACUUCAAUAAUAUUUUUAAUUUUCAAAUCUCUUUGUGAGUAUUUAAACAAUUAAUUCUCAAUAUUCUACGAAAUCAUCGAGUCUUAAUUUCUAAAUUCGCGAUAUUCUUUUAAAUCAAUAUAAAUUUAAUUAUUCGUUUAUUUCGAUAUUUUCUAGAAUCAGAAUAUUUUCAACAUUAAAAUUCCGCUCCAUCAACUACUCCUCUUCCUCCCAAACACAAUUAGCUCAGCCCAACAUGCGAAAGUGAAAUCGCCUGCAGUUCCAGUCAAUUGAACGUCUUGUCGUUUAUGCUAAAUGUCGUUUUUAAGUUUCAUUUGCCAACGACAAAACGAUUUAUCUUUUACCUGAAAGUCCAAGCAUAGCGAGCGAGUUGUUUUACAAAUGGGACAGUUGUCCCAACGAUAUUCACAAACAAUCCCAUUUCAUGGCCCGAAGAACAAACCCAACGACAUAUGAAAGCAUCAACCUUUACUGGAGUAGGUCGAUUGAAAUGAUAGAAGCCGAAGAAGUAAAUGAAACAGGAAUAAGAAGCAGAAGCAAGUAAGCAGAGCAAGUGACCAUGAAAACAGCUACAUUACCAUUUGGUGGCUUUGGGCAUUCUUAUUUACCUUCAUCUUCAUUCAAGAUUGUUAUUGUAAUGGCAAAGAGCAACAAAAAGUCCCGAUCCUCUUCUUCUUCUUCUAAGGUUCUUUCCACCUUUUCUUGUUUGAAUUCACAAUCUUCUCUUGUUUGAUGGCAAAGUUGGUCCUUUUUAGUUUUUUUUUGUUUUUAAUGAAUUGAAUUUAGCGUAUCAUAGACUCUCCUUUAAAGGGUUUGUGUGAUGUAGUUCAAUAAGUUUUGGAUGCGCCGAAGUAGUUAAUUUUAGUUAUAUGUAUUGUUUUUUUAGCUCAUAUGGGUGUCUUAAUUUUUCAUUUUUCUUAUAUAUCAACAAUCUUCAGUUGUUGGCUGCUCUUGAUGACUGUUUUAGUUUAUUUAAUAUAUUCUUAUUGAAUGAUCAUAAUAAUAUGUGAUGCAAAAUUGUUUAUCAGGUGGUUUACAAUUGUAAGCAAAUAUAUAGAAGCUGAAACUGAUCAUUAUACUUUUAGUGAUUGCUGAUGCCUGAAGAGGUAGAUUUCUGACCCAGAAAGUGCCUUACACGAUCAUAUCAGCCUUGUUAGUGGGAACACAAAAUGAGUAAGAGUAACUAUAUGUUCUUGAGGAGCCAAAAAUAGGGUGUUAUUUUGUGCUUCUCUUAAUCAAGUUCUGCAGCAAUAGAAAAUGGGGAUCAUAAUAUUUGGUUUAAAGGCGUUUUUUUAAUUUUGUGCCAAAUUAUUGUAUGUUCCAGAGUAGGAGCAGUGUUUGAUCCAUAAUUUUUUUUCUUUAUAUUUGUAAAUACUUUUAUCUCUUUUUUUUUUUUUGGUUGGUUCAUAUUUAGGUUGUCUCUAACUGGCUUUUUGGUGAUAGGAUUCAGAGCCGACACCUCCAAGAAUUACAUCUAAUGUGAAGCAAAAUUUGCAGUUCUUGAGAUUAUGGAAGGUUGGUUUUAUAUUGACAUAUCUAAAACCAGCAUCAGUUUUUAUCUUUCAUCUUAUUUAAGUUUGCCUUUGUAGGAGUUUCAAAGGAGCAAGUCUAGCACGCCUAGGCCUUCAACUAGUUACCGCAGGAAAAAGGUUGAGAAGGAGGAAUUGCCAGAAGAUACAGAGCUUUACCGUGAUCCUUUACUAGUAAUAUACUCUUCACGUUUCUUUUAUUUGCCUUGUUUGUUGUUUCAUUGAUCCCCUCUUAACCUUCUAUUAAAGGAAUUUUCUCUUUUAUUUACAGUACAAACCAGGGUAUAGAUAAUGCUGUUCCUGUCUUACUUGUUGAUGGGUAUAAUGUUUGUGGCUAUUGGCCAAAGCUGAAGAAACAUUUUAUUAAAGGAAGGCUGGAUGUUGCUCGUCAGAAGCUAAUUGAGGAACUUGUGGAAUUUAGUAUGAUAAGAGGUUUGUAUUUUUUAUCUCUUUUUUAUUCCAUAAGGGGCUUCUUUGUAUGUUGCAAUCGAUCAAAUGUGAUGCAACCUUGCUUGGCUAUAACAAAAUCAUGUAUAGAAUAACAACAUAAUUGACAGAUAUAUUUCUGCUGCUUAACUUGUGAUUGGAUAUACUUUAAUAUUAGGUGCCUUUAACAAGUGGUAUCUUGAAAAUUAAACACUGCUUCCAAUGCUUUUCUUUAUUUUCUUUGAAAGGAACUGUUCCCUGUGCUUACUUUCCUACUUUACUAAGUUUUGCUAUCAAAGUUUCUUCUUUGAAGGUUAUCCCCAAAGAUCCAGGGUGCCUUUGUCUGGAGUUCCAAGGCAUUGGUUUCUGAGGUCAGCUUGAUUAUCUAUUAUAUUUGUUGUUAAACUUGUCAUUCUUUCAUGCGUGGACAGUUUGUCAUUUCACUGGUCACUAUAAUCACAUUGUUGGUAUUUCUCUUGCUUUUCUUUUCUUCAUAAAAAAUUGAAGUUCUGAUUGAUAAGAAAGUUCGUAUUUUUGCUUAUUGAAUCUCAUUUUUCUAAGAAUUUAAUGACCAUCUGUGUACUACAUAUAAAAUAGUUUCAUAAGGUGUAGGAAUUCAUACAUCUACUUUCAGCUUAGUUAAGAAAUUUUUAUCUUUUGGGGGAGGUGGGAAUGGCCCCACCUCUUCUUUUUUUACCCUCCUAUUAUUAAAUUUAAUAUAAUUAUAUUUAAUAAAAUAAAAAAAAAUAACAAGAUUACAGAUCAGCAGGAAAAGCCCUCUUUCUAAAGCUAACUAUACAGAUUCUGCUGUACCGUACAUCCGCCUUGGCCGUACAGCAGUUUAUUUAAUAUUAAUAAUUAAUAAUAAUAAAUAGUUUAUUCUAAGAAAUAUUAAUUUUGUACUAAAUAAUAUUAUCAUAUUAUUAUUAUUUAAUAUAAUUAUAAUAAAUUUAAAUAAUAUUAUUAUAUUUAACUAAGUAUAAUUUACAUUGAUUCUAAGUUAAAAUUACUCAAAAAUAAUAUUAUUAUAUUAAUAGAGAAUUAAUAAUAUUACUAUAAACUAUCUUUAUUUAAAAAUAUAAUAUUAUUAUAUUUAUUUAAUAAUAAUAGUAUUAUAUUUAUUUAAUCUUAAUAAUUAAUAUUAAUAAAUAUUUUAAUUCCAAGAACAUUUUAAUUUUGUACUGUGUUAAUAGUAAAAAUGUUUCAUUUAUGUUGCCCUUAUCAAUAAUUUUUAAUUUACAUAACUAAAAUUAGAAUUAAUAAAAAUUUUGUUGUACAUAAUUAAGAAUUUAAUAUUAUUAUAAACCUUCAAAUAUAAUAAAAUAAAUAUUUUAUUCUUCAAAUAUAUUUUUUAUUAACUAUGCAAUUGAAAACUACAAUUUUUUACAUAAAGGUAAAAUUGUAAUUUGAAAAUAUUUACUCCUAAUCCAAAAAAAAGUAAACACAUAGAUUGGAUUCUGAUUUCAAUUCCAUACUUUCAUUCCAGUAUAAAUAAAUACCUACUCUCACUCCCACUCGACACUCCUAAUCCUAGGAUUCUCACUCUUCACGAUUCUCACUCCAAUCCAAAAUGUAAACGCUUCCUUAGUAUAAUAUUAGCAUUAUAUUAAUUAUGUUAUUAGCUUAUUAAAUAUAUACCUUUAACAAACGAGUCGAAUUUGUGUUAUUUAAAAUUUAGACGCGAUGGGAAUAUGAAUAUAACAUUACAUUACAAAUUGGCAUUGUUGAUUAUUAAAAACAAAUGCCGUGCAAAGGGCACUCAUAGUAAUAAGAAGAGAGAAUAAAAUCUUUUAAUUUAGCUUGCUUUAAUAAGUAAAAGAAUUGAUAAACUCUCUUUAAACUUUUGAAAUGAACCUGAAGGGACGGUAAGAGGAGAAGGAUGUAGCUUUAUUAAUGUAGAAGAAUUAUAUUCCUGACAAUCACAUUGCUUUCGUGUUCUCUCUGAAGUAGUGCCUAAUUAAUCAUGUUAAGCAAAUGCAAGAUUCGUGGUUCGGCUUUUAUUUAAUUUAAUAUGUAAAGUGAUCAAGAGCUCCACCGAUUUUAUAUUUGUAUUGGGCUUUGCCUUUUCUUUUCACUUUUGUGCUGGGUUUAAAUGGACAAUGAUACCUUAAUGUAUGUAUGAAUGUAUGUAUGUAUGUAUGUAUGUAUGUAUAUAUAUAUUUCAUUUGUUUUAAUAGUAAAUUUAUUUUUAAUUUAUAAUUACUAUUAUAUUCCUAUAAUAAAUAAAUCAAUAUAUUGAUCUAAGACAUGUCAUGAUGGCAUGUAUAAUAAAAUCAAUAAAAUUUUUAUUUAAAACCUAAAAUUGAGAUAUAAUUAUCUUUUCCCCCAGAUUAUUUACUUUAAAUUAUGAAUAUAUCCUUCUUAAUGAUAGGAUGAUAAAAAAUGAUGAAUAAUAGAUAAAAUUAAAAUCAAAUUUAUUUUCUUCCGGGGCAAAUUAUGCAAAAUGAGAUAUUAAACAUGCUUGUAUAUGAAUGAAAGGCAAUUGGGCAAAUCCCCAAAAAAAAAGUUUAGAAAAAUAUUAUAGGCUUUUACUCAGACCCUUGAAACCUUUACUGAUAAUACCAAAAACUCUAAUCCUUCAACAAAAGAAAGCAAGAAAAAAAGGUCCUAAGUUUAUUGUCUUUUAUUGGAUUUGUACCAAAAACUCUGAUCUGUUGGCUUUGUAUCAGUAUUGCUUGUUUGUUGUCUUUUAUUUCAUUAUUUAUAUCUAAGUUUAUUUCAAGAUUACAGAUCAGCAGGAAAAGCCCUCUUUCUAAAGCUAACUAUACAGAUUCUGCUGUACCGUACAUCCGCCUUGGCCGUACAGCAGUUUAUUUAAUAUUAAUAAUUAAUAAUAAUAAAUAGUUUAUUCUAAGAAAUAUUAAUUUUGUACUAAAUAAUAUUAUCAUAUUAUUAUUAUUUAAUAUAAUUAUAAUAAAUUUAAAUAAUAUUAUUAUAUUUAACUAAGUAUAAUUUACAUUGAUUCUAAGUUAAAAUUACUCAAAAAUAAUAUUAUUAUAUUAAUAGAGAAUUAAUAAUAUUACUAUAAACUAUCUUUAUUUAAAAAUAUAAUAUUAUUAUAUUUAUUUAAUAAUAAUAGUAUUAUAUUUAUUUAAUCUUAAUAAUUAAUAUUAAUAAAUAUUUUAAUUCCAAGAACAUUUUAAUUUUGUACUGUGUUAAUAGUAAAAAUGUUUCAUUUAUGUUGCCCUUAUCAAUAAUUUUUAAUUUACAUAACUAAAAUUAGAAUUAAUAAAAAUUUUGUUGUACAUAAUUAAGAAUUUAAUAUUAUUAUAAACCUUCAAAUAUAAUAAAAUAAAUAUUUUAUUCUUCAAAUAUAUUUUUUAUUAACUAUGCAAUUGAAAACUACAAUUUUUUACAUAAAGGUAAAAUUGUAAUUUGAAAAUAUUUACUCCUAAUCCAAAAAAAAGUAAACACAUAGAUUGGAUUCUGAUUUCAAUUCCAUACUUUCAUUCCAGUAUAAAUAAAUACCUACUCUCACUCCCACUCGACACUCCUAAUCCUAGGAUUCUCACUCUUCACGAUUCUCACUCCAAUCCAAAAUGUAAACGCUUCCUUAGUAUAAUAUUAGCAUUAUAUUAAUUAUGUUAUUAGCUUAUUAAAUAUAUACCUUUAACAAACGAGUCGAAUUUGUGUUAUUUAAAAUUUAGACGCGAUGGGAAUAUGAAUAUAACAUUACAUUACAAAUUGGCAUUGUUGAUUAUUAAAAACAAAUGCCGUGCAAAGGGCACUCAUAGUAAUAAGAAGAGAGAAUAAAAUCUUUUAAUUUAGCUUGCUUUAAUAAGUAAAAGAAUUGAUAAACUCUCUUUAAACUUUUGAAAUGAACCUGAAGGGACGGUAAGAGGAGAAGGAUGUAGCUUUAUUAAUGUAGAAGAAUUAUAUUCCUGACAAUCACAUUGCUUUCGUGUUCUCUCUGAAGUAGUGCCUAAUUAAUCAUGUUAAGCAAAUGCAAGAUUCGUGGUUCGGCUUUUAUUUAAUUUAAUAUGUAAAGUGAUCAAGAGCUCCACCGAUUUUAUAUUUGUAUUGGGCUUUGCCUUUUCUUUUCACUUUUGUGCUGGGUUUAAAUGGACAAUGAUACCUUAAUGUAUGUAUGAAUGUAUGUAUGUAUGUAUGUAUGUAUGUAUAUAUAUAUUUCAUUUGUUUUAAUAGUAAAUUUAUUUUUAAUUUAUAAUUACUAUUAUAUUCCUAUAAUAAAUAAAUCAAUAUAUUGAUCUAAGACAUGUCAUGAUGGCAUGUAUAAUAAAAUCAAUAAAAUUUUUAUUUAAAACCUAAAAUUGAGAUAUAAUUAUCUUUUCCCCCAGAUUAUUUACUUUAAAUUAUGAAUAUAUCCUUCUUAAUGAUAGGAUGAUAAAAAAUGAUGAAUAAUAGAUAAAAUUAAAAUCAAAUUUAUUUUCUUCCGGGGCAAAUUAUGCAAAAUGAGAUAUUAAACAUGCUUGUAUAUGAAUGAAAGGCAAUUGGGCAAAUAGGAAGUAAAAUUGGAGGGCUCACUCUCUUAAGUUAAGUAUAUUGAUUUAUUUAUUAUAGGGACAUGAUAGUAAUUGUAAAUUAAAAAUUAAGUUACUACUAAAAUAAACAGAUUUUACUAAUAAAAAAAGAGUUACAUGUCUUUUUUAAAACAUUAAAAGAUUCCAUAUUCCUUUUCUCAAAUGCUCACUGCUCUUUUCCCUUGCUCAAUUGAUUUCUAGAUUUGUUGGACCAUUCGCUAUCACAAACUCAUUGUGCUAAUUCACUCUCAUUUGCUUUAAUUUCCAUAAACUCAUAAUUCGGUUUUUUUCUUUGCCCAAAAAAAUUAAAAAUGUCAAUCAUCCAAGAGCAAUCCUUACGGCGGCAUCUGUUGAGUUGCUGGUCAAUAAGUAAGCUUUAGUGAGGAUCAGGUUGCUCGAUCUAAUCGCUAAUGAAAGGGUAUUAUGAAAGAUGAUAACCUAAAUAAAAGAGCACGAGUAUAUCCAUAAAUAGAGGUCAUAUUUAUGUCAUUUAGACAUGAAUAAAAUGAUAUUACACCACUCUUUUCUUAACCCUAUUUCCUAAAAUGAACUUCAUCUAAUAAUAUCUAUUUUUUUAUGCAUCGAAUAUCCAAUUCAUUUUUUUUUUUUUGCAAAAACAAUAUAUUACUUCCUAGCAAGCUUACAACAUUCAAGAAUAUUCAUGUUUACUUUCGUCGAUGCAUAACGCAAACAAAUAAAGAAGCAUUUCAUUAUAUCCUAGAUCCAUAUUUGUUUAACCCACGUGCAUCACUCAAUUGGUGAGGGUAAAUAAUAUCUUAAAGAAAGUAAUAUUUCUAACGUGUCUUGAAUUACAUAUUAAUUUUCUAUAAUUUACCUUUUGUUCAUUAUAUUAAAGUCCCAUUAUUUUUAUUGUUAUUCUUUAUGUUUGCUAUUCCGCACGAAUACGUAUCCCUAACGUAUUAGUUGUCGCUUCUUAAAAAUUUUAUAAAUAUCAAUAAUUAAUAUCAUUAUUCAAUCAUUUAGAAAAACCUGAGCAUUAAUUAGUUUAUCUUUGAAUUAAAACUAGACACAUGUAAAUAUGUGAACUCUAAUUAAAUCCUGAUUACUUGUAAUAUAUAUGAGCCAUAUCUAAAAAGGUAAUCUCAAUUUCUACUUCCAUUUUUUAAAUGCCAGGUCGAUGUACAUUAUCUAUGCAUGUACUGAAUAGGAAGCAACACAUGAAGAUGCAUUCUUUUUGCUGGACACUGAUUUUUAUUUUUCAUUUUUUUUUCCAAUUAUUCAAUGGUGCCGCCUGGUCCACGCAUGUCCGGUUCGUCAAGCAGACAAGCACAAGCAUGUGAAACUUGCUGAAUUAUUGAUGGUGGUGGGGGCUGCCUCUGGCUUAUGAGUUUGAAGAUUUGUAAAGGGAAGGUUCGUAGUAGAUACUUCCCAUUUUCCACUUUAUUCAGCAUUUUUACAUUCAUUGAAUCUGGUAACAAGUGGUGGUGACUGGUGAUUGGUGGAUUGCCAAAUUGGAUGAGUGAACGCGUUUUCUGUCGUCCCUUCGUCGGCUUUCGUUCGUUUUCAGUUUUCACUAUCCUUUUUUUUUCAUUUUUUAUUCUUUAUUUUACUAUUUAUAAUCGGUCCCACAAAAAGAAUAUUUCAUUUUUUACAAUUGUUCAAUGAUGCUUGGUCCACCCAUGCCCAGUUCGUCAAGCAGACAAGCACAAACGCGUGAAGCUUGCUAAAUUAUUUUCUUUUCACUUUUGUGGUGGGUUUUGUUUAAUGGUAAAUGGAUAAUGACUCCCAACAUUUUGAAUAAAGAUAUAAAACACUUUAAUGGUUCAAAAAAGAUACGUAAGAUAUAUUUUUAUUAGUAAAUUUUAUUGUUUUAAUAAUAAAUUUAUUUUUAAUUUAUAAUUAUUAUUACAUCACUUUAAUAAAUAAAUUAAUAUAUUUAGAUAGAAUAAGAUAAUCUACACCAUUCUUUUCUUAAUUCUAUUUUCUAAAAUGAAUUUCAUCAAAUAACAUCUAUUUUUUAUGCAUUAAAUAUCCAAUACAUUAUUUUUCAGCAGAAUCAACAUAUUAGUUCGUAACAGAAUUGCAACAUUCAAGAGUAUUUAGGUUUAUUUUUGUCGAUGCACAACACAAAUAAAUAAAUAAGUAUUUCAUUAUAUCCAAGAGACAUAUUUACUUAACUUAUGCGUAUCACUCAAUUAGAUGGGGCAAAUAACUUUUUUUAAAAAGUGAUAUUUAUAACGUUCCUUAAAGUAUAUAUUGAUUUUCUGUAAUUUACCUUUUUUUCAUUAUGUUAAAAUUCCACUAUUUUUAUUGCUGUUCUCUAUGUUUACCAUUCCGCAUAAAUAUAUAUCCCCAAUAUAUUAGUUAUAACUUUUUAGAAAUUUUUGUAAUUAAUAUGAAUAUUCAAUCAUUUAGAAAAACCUGAUUAUUAAUGAUUAGCUUAUCUCUCAAUUAAAGCUAGACACAUGUAAAUAUGUGAACUCGAAUUAAAUCUUGAUACUUGUAAUAUAUAUGAGUCAUAUCUAACAAAGCAAGUUCUAAUUUCUACUUCCAUCUUUUAAAUGACAGGUCGAUGUGCAUUAUCGAUGCAUGUACUGAAUAGGAAGUAACACAUAAAGAUGGAUUCUUUUUGCUGGACUCUGAUUUUUAUUUGUCAUUUUUUCCAAUUGUUCAAUGAUGCUUGGUCCACCCAUGUCCAAUUAGUCAAGCAGACAAGCACAAGCGCGCGAAGCUUGCUAAAUUAUUGAUGCAUAAAGUGGAAGCAAAAGCUAGAGGCAGCCCCCACCGCCACCGAUAAUUUUUUUUUCCUCACAUUAGAGUUAUUUCGUGUAUAUCGUUUAUAGCUUAUUAAUCGACUUGUUAUUUUAUUAAGUAUAUAUAUAUAUAUAUAUAUACAUUUAAUAAAUGAGUCGAAUUUAUGUUCAGCUAAAAUGUUAGUUAUAUUUGACACGACAGUAAUAUAGCAUGAUGGUAGAAUUUACCAUUGUGAUUAUAAAAAAUUAUGGUGUAUUUUUAAGUCUUUGUCUUAAUAUUGAAAUUAAUUCAAUAAAUGAAGUAAUUAUAUGGCAAAAGGAGAGAGACAGAGAGAAACGUUUUGAUUUAACUUGAUUCAUAAGUUUGAAGAUUUGUAAAGCCAAGGUUCGUAGUUGAUGCGUUCAAUUUUCUUCUGUAUUCAGCAUUUACCCGGACGCUGGAUUAAUGUUGUUGACCCUACUAAUAUCAAAGUCUGAUUAUUUAUUUAUUUAUUUUUUGAUAUACAAUUUUAUAUUUAUUGAUUCUAGUAACUAGUGGUGGUCAUUGGUGAUUGGUGACUUGCUAAAUUAUUAAUGGAUGGUGGGCUCUCCUUUUAUUUUCACUUUCCUGGAAUAAACAGCAAGUGGAAGACUUGUUAGAUGCACUUUGCUCGACUCUCCAUGCUCACUGUUCAAUUUUCUGAUUCUGCUUUCCAUAACCCAUAAUUCUGCUCCUUUCAUAAAUUUUCUGCUGUACGGCCAAGGCGGAUGUACGGUACAGCAGAACCCAGUAGCAGUCGUACAAGAACAAGUAAGCUUCGAGAGCUCAUUUCUACUUGUUGCACCACUUUUACUCCACAAUCGAUCCAGUUCGAUUAUGCCUUGAUGUCCAAAAUAGAAGAAAUCAACGGCAGAUUUCAAGAUAUUGUAACACAGAAAGACUCGCUGGGUUUGAACGUAAGUUCAGCUGGGCUUGGGAGGACCACAAAAAACACGCAAAGGCAAGAGACAACCUCUUUGGUGAAUGAAGCCGAAAUAUAUGGCAGAGAAACAGAAAAGAAGGAAAUUGCUGAAUUGUUGUUGAGGGAUGAUUUGAGAAAUGAUGGUAGGUUCUCUGUUAUACCUAUUGUAGGUUUGGGUGGGCUAGGCAAAACUACUCUUGCUCGGCUUGGCUAUAAUGAUGAUCGAGUGAAGAAUCAUUUUGGUCCCAAAGCAUGGAUUUGUGUCUCAGAUGAUUUUGAUGUUACCAAGCUAACAAAAACAAUCUUGACAUCCAUCGUUGCUCACCAGAACGUGGAUAAUCUCAACUUGAAUAAGCUUCAAGAGGAACUGAAGAAGCAACUACUUGGAAAGAAAUUUUUGCUUGUUUUAGAUGAUGUGUGGAAUUGGAAUUACAAUGAUUGGGUUGAGUUCAGCCUUCCAUUUGGAGCAAGUGCACGGGGAAGUAAAAUUAUUGUCACUACUCGCGAUGAAGAGGUUGCAAAAAUCAUGGGGACUCUUCCAGCUUAUGAAUUAAAAAAGCUGUCAGAUAAUGAUUGUCUAGCUGUACUCGCUCAACAUUCUUUGGGGACGCGAGAUUUCAGUUCACAUAUGUCAUUGGAGGAAAUCGGCAAGAAGAUAGUGACCAAAUGUGAUGGCUUGCCGUUGGCGGCACAAGCACUUGGAGGACUUUUACGUGGAGAACGUGACAGAGGUGAGUGGGAACGUGUGCUCAGUAGCAAGAUAUGGGAAUUACAAGAAGAGGGAUGCCGCAUUAUACCAGCCCUUGCGGUGAGCUAUUAUUAUCUUCGUCCAACUUUGAAACAAUGUUUUGCAUACUGCUCGUUGUUUCCGAAGGAUUAUGAAUUUGAAGAGGAGGAGAUAAUUUUAUUAUGGAGUGCUGUGGGUUUCUUGGAUCACGGAGAGAGCGGGAAUCCAAGUGAAGAUCUAGGUCGAAAGUUCUUUCAAGAGCUACGUGCAAGAUCUUUUUUCCAGCAAUCAAGCAACGGUAUAUCACGAUUUGUGAUGCACGACCUCGUCAAUGACCUUGCUCAAUGGGCUGCUGGGGAAAUGUACUUCAGAAUGGAGUAUAUCUCAGAGGUUAACAAGCAACAAAGUUUUUCCAGAAAUCUUCGUCAUCUGUCAUACAUUCCUGAAUAUUUUGAAGGCAGUAAAAGGUUUGAAGACUUGUACAAUAUCCAGCAUUUGCGAACUUUUCUACCAGUAAGGCGGUCAAAUAGUUUGCCAUCUGGAUACUUGGCUCGUAGCAUUCUUCCUAAGUUGUUCAAACUCCAACGCUUGAGGGUCUUCUCCUUGUUUGGAUACCGCAUCUAUGAGCUACCAAAUUCAGUAGGUGAUUUACAAUUUGCACAGUCUUAACCUAUCUGGAACUGAAAUUAGAACUCUGCCUGAAUCAGUGAACAAGCUUUACAAUUUGCACACACUUUUGUUGGAGGACUGUCGGGAACUAAAGAAGUUGUGUGCAGAAAUGGGAAACCUCAUCAAAUUGCAUCAUCUUAAAAAUUCAAAUACAGAUUCCUUGGAGGAAAUGCCACUAGGAAUUGGUAAUUUGACUUGUCUUCAAACGUUGUGUAAUUUUGUUGUGGCAAAAGACAGUGGUUCCGAGUUAAGAGAGCUGAAGUCGUU
RNAcentral lists this long non-coding RNA (18106 nucleotides) under Citrus sinensis (sweet orange). RNAcentral's name for it is "long non-coding RNA (CSIN_LNC001007)". Lineage: Eukaryota; Viridiplantae; Streptophyta; Magnoliopsida; Sapindales; Rutaceae. The record is from RNAcentral.